This 327-nucleotide ribosomal RNA is filed under the name uncultured Lactobacillus sp. RNAcentral describes it as "bacterial SSU rRNA". It matches the Rfam family "Bacterial small subunit ribosomal RNA", at positions 1051 to 1378 of the family's 1533-position model. RNAcentral also lists the same sequence under 1 other name. Lineage: Bacteria; Bacillati; Bacillota; Bacilli; Lactobacillales; Lactobacillaceae. The record is from RNAcentral.
GUCGUCAGCUCGUGUCGUGAGAUGUUGAGUUAAGUCCUGCAACGAGCGCAACCCUUAUUAUCAGUUGCCAGCAUUCAGUUGGGCACUCUGGUGAGACUGCUGGUGACAAACCGGAGGAAGGUGGGGAUGACGUCAAAUCAUCAUGCCCCUUAUGACCUGGGCUACACACGUGCUACAAUGGACGGUACAACGAGUCGCGAAGUCGUGAGGCCAAGCUAAUCUCUUAAAGCCGUUCUCAGUUCGGAUUGUAGGCUGCAACUCGCCUACAUGAAGUUGGAAUCGCUAGUAAUCGCGGAUCAGCAUGCCGCGGUGAAUACGUUCCCGGGA